GUUUAAAAGAAUUUAAAUGUUUUACCAAAUGCUUUCUCUGCAAGGGAUAUACGUAGGAUGGGCUUCUCUAUUCCCACUGAUGCAGCAGAAAUUGAGCUUCCUGUUCCUGCAAACUUAGGCUCUGCUGGAUUUGAGUUGCUGGUUCCCAGAGUAAAAUUCUUAUAAGAGGUACAAUAAAUGUUCUUUUAAACUGGAAUUUGAGAUGAACACCUGGUCCUACGAGCUUCUAAUGCCAGUAGACCACCAGGAAAAGAAGGGGUUACUGUACUGGCUGAGAUGAAUGAUCCUGCACAAUACAUGAUGGAGACAGGGAGGACGAUGACUGGGAUACAGGAGAGCCUCCGAGGGGCCUCAGUACUUCUAUGUCUGUGACAAAAUUAGUGGAAAAUUGCAUAUACUGCUAGUGACUCCAGACUUUUAAGAGUGACAGUUUGCAUUGCCCCUGUAAGCCACAACCUGUGGCUAGCUGAAGUGUUUACUAAAAGCAAAGAGGUACGGGAUAAAUAGUGCUAGAGGGAAGACAGAAAUGCUGGCAAUGACCACAUGUUCAGUUACAAAAGCAGGGACUGUAGUAGCUAUGAGUACUUCACUGCACCUUUGAAAUGAAUGUAUGUAUUUUCUUUCUAUUUCAGUUUUUUUUCUUUGGUCUUCUCCCACCUUCCAUUUCUCUGUUAUAACCUUAGAUGUGUUAAGAGUGGUUAACCUUAUAGUCUGUAUUUAGAUUACAGGAUAUCAAAGGGGUGGUGUGAUUCAUCUCAAAGAAGAAUGGACAUCACCCGUGACUGAGGUGACAUGGAACUCUGUGUCCUCUGGGAAGAGGGUCUUGCAAGAAGUACAGCCUGACUCCCACAGUCUGACUUCCUGCCCUGUGCUGUAAGGAUUCAAGCAUGUCUGCCACCUGCACGAUCAUCAUAACCAACACCUGUGUAGGAGCUUACCUUUGACAAACCACUUCUUACUUUCUCUUCUUUGAUCAUCAAAAAUAUUCAGGUGAGCAUGGUGGUAGUACUCCAAUUUAAUUUAAUUACAGAGGCUCGGAAGAAUAAAAUAAAUUGCCUGGGGUCCCCGAGCUAGUAAAUAAUCAACUAUGAGGUGAGAUUGGGUUCUCUGAACAUAAAUUCAGUAGUUGUUUUUAACCCUCCCUACAUACCAGAUGUCCCUGAAAUUGUCACUUGCUUUCACCUGGACUUCUUUCUGCUGCUCGCUGUUCAGACCUCCUCUAGGGUAUUUUACUCUCCAGGUCAAACUAAGCCUUGCUCAUUUCACCUGUCCUGUUCAAAACUCAUGAAAAAAAAAAAAA
Molecule: non-coding RNA, 1300 nt
Organism: Vicugna pacos (alpaca)
Lineage: Eukaryota; Metazoa; Chordata; Mammalia; Artiodactyla; Camelidae
Source: RefSeq, a predicted model, not a curated record